CAGUAGCCGCGGGAAUACAGAGGGUGCAAGCGUUAAUCGGAAUUACUGGGCGUAAAGCGCGCGUAGGUGGUUUGUUAAGUUGGAUGUGAAAUCCCCGGGCUCAACCUGGGAACUGCAUCCAAAACUGGCAGGCUAGAGUAGGGCAGAGGGUGGUGGAAUUUCCUGUAUAGCGGUGAAAUGCGUAGAUAUAGGAAGGAACACCAGUGGCGAAGGCGACCACCUGGGCUCAUACUGACACUGAGGUGCGAAAGCGUGGGGAGCAAACAGGAUUAGAUACCCCAGUAGUCCCUGUCUCUUAUAC
RNAcentral lists this ribosomal RNA (301 nucleotides) under uncultured bacterium. RNAcentral describes it as "partial 16S ribosomal RNA". It matches the Rfam family "Bacterial small subunit ribosomal RNA", at positions 509 to 807 of the family's 1533-position model. The record is from RNAcentral.